CAACUCAACUUCAUCUCUCACAUCCUUCUCUCCUUGUUCAACUUUCAUCAUCAUCAAUCUCAACGACACUAUGUCAAACUCUGCUAAAACUUCUCCAAUUAAGGAUAGCACUGUUCGUUCUGAAAUUUGGGAGUCUCACGUGAUCGACGCAGUUCCUAUUUCAACUGUGCCUCCUACGAGUUCGAUGAAAAAGGAGAAAUGAACUUCAAAGAAGGAUAAAACAUCACAAGUAAGUAUUAAUCCUUCAUCUCCCUCUGCAUCAAUUAAGAAAUCGAAGCGGAAGAGCAAGAAAUCAAAAUCUGAGUCGAGUGGAGGUUUUACCAUGUCUGAACUUCAUGUUGAUCCACUUCAACCGAGUAGUGUUGAUACUCCUGUCGCUGAACCUGUCAUUGAAAUGUUGAUGCACCUGGUAAGAUUCCUGUCAAU
RNAcentral lists this long non-coding RNA (426 nucleotides) under Trifolium pratense (red clover). RNAcentral's name for it is "long non-coding RNA (TPRA_LNC000661)". The record is from RNAcentral. Lineage: Eukaryota; Viridiplantae; Streptophyta; Magnoliopsida; Fabales; Fabaceae.